GAUGAACGCUGGCGGCGUGCCUAAUACAUGCAAGUCGAGCGAACAGACGAGGAGCUUGCUCCUCUGACGUUAGCGGCGGACGGGUGAGUAACACGUGGAUAACCUACCUAUAAGACUGGGAUAACUUCGGGAAACCGGAGCUAAUACCGGAUAAUAUAUUGAACCGCAUGGUUCAAUAGUGAAAGACGGUUUUGCUGUCACUUAUAGAUGGAUCCGCGCCGCAUUAGCUAGUUGGUAAGGUAACGGCUUACCAAGGCAACGAUGCGUAGCCGACCUGAGAGGGUGAUCGGCCACCCUGGAACUGAGACACGGUCCAGACUCCUACGGGAGGCCGCAGUAGGGUAUCUUCCGCAAUGGGCGAAAGCCUGACGGAGCAACGCCGAGUGAGUGAUGAAGGUCUUCGGAUCGUAAAACUCUGUUAUUAGGGAAGAACAAAUGUGUAAGUAACUAUGCACGUCUUGACGGUACCUAAUCAGAAAGCCACGGCUAACUACGUG
Molecule: ribosomal RNA, 497 nt
Filed under: uncultured bacterium
Lineage: Bacteria
Description: partial 16S ribosomal RNA
Rfam family: Bacterial small subunit ribosomal RNA
Source: RNAcentral